Cyanistes caeruleus (blue tit) is the source of this 1198-nucleotide long non-coding RNA. RefSeq lists it as uncharacterized. NCBI's taxonomy places the organism in Eukaryota, Metazoa, Chordata, Aves, Passeriformes, Paridae. The record is from RefSeq and is a predicted model, not a curated record.
GCUGCCCAGCACAUACAUCCCACUCACUGGGAGCUACAGGCAGCAGUCUGUAAGUCUGCAAAGUGUAAAUCUCACCAGCCACUGCUGAGAGGGAGCUUAGCCAGGCAGUGUCCUCUGUCACCACAAUCUUUUUAGAUUGCUCUGCUACAGCACAGUGUGCUGGGACCAAACAACUCUGGAUUUAGCCUUUCAUUUGACAAGGUACAUAGGAGCCAAAGAGUAGGAGGGAAGAGAGAUGAGAACAGUGAACAGAUCAAACAAGCAACCUUCGGAGGAGACAUCAGCCCCACCAUGAUCCUUGGCGUGAUUGGCUUUCAAAAUAUUUAAAGUUCUUGGCUCAUGUGGACUGAAAAUCUUCAAAGGAGCACAAGUCCUCUUGACUUGUAAGAUGAUAUGAGCACCUAUGUCACAUGCCUGCCUUUAGAAAUGCUUCUUGCAAAGCAGGCUGAUGGAUAUUGUCCAGCUAUCCCGGCAGGCAGAAGUUGUGCAACCCCUCCAAGGCAAAGGAUAUUUGGACAAUGAAAGGGAAAUGAGGAUAUUCCUGCCUCGCCCAGCCCUGAUUGCCUUAGGAAGGAUGCAAAUGUCUCUACUGCUUUACCUGGAGGUCAAACAGGACCUGAUCAGGCCAGGGUCUGCCGAGGGAAGCUCAGCUAAAUUGUCAGGUCUCACAAGCUGUGGAUGAGGGUCCUGGGCCCACUCAGUGUUCCUGUGCCAUAGUCUGGGGCCAGGCAAUGGGGUUGCUUCCCAGCCCUGGUACUCCUCAUGCCGCACAGCCAGUCAGCCUAACGUGGGCACCACUGACUGUCUGUGGAGCUGGUGUCCAGUCACCAUGGGGGAGAGGCUGUUGUGCCCCCUUUCUGACUCCUUGGGCCCAUUGUCCCCCUCCAUCCCCUGCACAUUGCCAAUUACUGUCUUUCUGCUUUACUCUCUGCCAGAUCUCAUUCCAUGUCUGGUCACCCAUUGUGGCCCAAGGUGUGUCACUGGCUGCCAUUGCUGUCCCUUUGAUCACUGCCCACCCCAAGAGGACCUUGAGAAAUCGUGUGCCCAGAGCAGCAUAACAUUUUGGCUGUAGCUGCCAAUACUUAGCCUACUUUGAAAGGGAUCUUAGUCUGAGUGAAAUCCUUGAAAUGCUGCUUUCACCUGUGUACUGCAGUAUUUGUACAGAGGGGUUCAUGAUGCACUUUAUAGGUCUGGCUUU